AUGCAUUGGUAUACUUGGUGGAAAUUGUGUUACCCAAAGAGUGAAGGAGGAAUGUGUUUCAGAGAUCUUCAUUCCUUUAACUUGACAAUGCUCUCAAAACAGUGUUGGUGUCUUAUUACCAACCCUGAUUCCUUAUGUGCCAGGGUGUUGAAGGUAAAAUACUUCCCCAACACACACUUACUCCAAGCUACCCAAUAA
Molecule: ribosomal RNA, 198 nt
Filed under: Triticum aestivum (bread wheat)
Lineage: Eukaryota; Viridiplantae; Streptophyta; Magnoliopsida; Poales; Poaceae
Description: partial small subunit ribosomal RNA
Source: RNAcentral